AAUGAACGUUGGCGGCGUGGAUUAGGCAUGCAAGUCGAGCGAGAAGUUCCUUCGGGAACGGACAGCGGCGAAAGGGAGAGGAAUACGUAGAAAUCUACCCCUGAGACCGGGAUAGCGUCGGGAAACUGGCAGUAAUACCGGAUAACGUCUUAGGACCAAAGGUGUGAUUCCACUUGGGGAUGAGUCUACGCCCUAUUAGCUAGUUGGUGGGGUAAUGGCCUACCAAGGCAAUGAUGGGUAGCGGUGUGGGAGCAUGACCCGCCUCACUGGGACUGAGAACUGCCCAGACACCUACGGGUGGCUGCAGUCGAGAAUCUUUGUCAAUGGACGAAAGUCUGAACAAGCGACGCCGCGUGCGGGAUGAAGGCCUUC
Molecule: ribosomal RNA, 372 nt
Filed under: uncultured bacterium
Lineage: Bacteria
Description: bacterial SSU rRNA
Rfam family: Bacterial small subunit ribosomal RNA
Source: RNAcentral